UAGAGAAGGCUGGGCACACAGAAGAAGAAUAAACCUUCCUGUUAGAUGCUAACGGAAGCGCUUCGUGUGUCUCGUCUUUUCUAUAUCGCAGAAUGAGAGAGAGAGAGAGAGACACGACUACCUUGGAGCCCAGAGCCAUGAUGCGGAGCUUUGCAUGCCUGCUUACAUCUCUCCCUAUCCCCUCAACCAGCCAUGGCAGCUGUGUCUGUAAAGAAAAUGCCACAUGAGCCUGCAUUCUGAGAUGUAAAGACUUUUAGCUUUGAGCUGUUAGCUACGUCAAGGCCAGGGCCUAAUUGUUUCAGUCAGGCUUCUGAAAAGAUCACCUACUUUGGGAUUUUUUUUUUUGAGAGUUCAUUAUUUUAUUUUGUUGAGUGUACUCUUGAUCCAAAUCACAAUGUUCCAAAUGAGAGCAGCGUGAGGAUCCAUGCCAUUUUACCAUUCGAAACCAAUUUCUUCAAGUGUUGGACAAGCGAAGCACCACUCCUGCUUGUAUGUCUUCAGCCAUGCCGUCUUAUCAACGGCUUAAUUUCAAAGGGGGGGAGCAAUUAAAAUUGUAAUAACUCAUUUUAUUAAAAGAUGAUUGAAUCUC
Poecilia latipinna (sailfin molly) is the source of this 589-nucleotide long non-coding RNA. RefSeq lists it as uncharacterized. Lineage: Eukaryota; Metazoa; Chordata; Actinopteri; Cyprinodontiformes; Poeciliidae. The record is from RefSeq and is a predicted model, not a curated record. The transcript is spliced from 3 exons.